Molecule: transfer RNA, 75 nt
Filed under: Candidatus Magasanikbacteria bacterium RIFOXYD1_FULL_40_23
Lineage: Bacteria; Candidatus Magasanikiibacteriota
Also listed under: 1 other name
Description: tRNA-Arg
Rfam family: tRNA
About the family: Transfer RNA (tRNA) molecules are approximately 80 nucleotides in length. Their secondary structure includes four short double-helical elements and three loops (D, anti-codon, and T loops). Further hydrogen bonds mediate the characteristic L-shaped molecular structure. tRNAs have two regions of fundamental functional importance: the anti-codon, which is responsible for specific mRNA codon recognition, and the 3' end, to which the tRNAs corresponding amino acid is attached (by aminoacyl-tRNA synthetases). tRNAs cope with the degeneracy of the genetic code in two manners: having more than one tRNA (with a specific anti-codon) for a particular amino acid; and 'wobble' base-pairing, i.e. permitting non-standard base-pairing at the 3rd anti-codon position.
Source: RNAcentral
GCCCUCGUAGUUCAACGGAUAGAACAGAUCCGUCCUAAGGAUGAGAUGGGGGUUCAAUUCCCUCCGAGGGCACUA